This 257-nucleotide ribosomal RNA is filed under the name uncultured prokaryote. RNAcentral's name for it is "partial 16S ribosomal RNA". It matches the Rfam family "Bacterial small subunit ribosomal RNA", at positions 524 to 780 of the family's 1533-position model. The record is from RNAcentral.
UACGUAGGUGGCGAGCGUUGUCCGGAAUUACUGGGUGUAAAGGGAGCGCAGGCGGGACUGCAAGUCAGUGGUGAAAUGCAUGGGCUUAACCCAUGAAUUGCCAUUGAAACUGUGGUUCUUGAGUGGAUCAGAGGCAAGCGGAAUUCCGAGUGUAGCGGUGAAAUGCGUAGAUAUUCGGAGGAACACCAGUGGCGAAGGCGGCUUGCUGGGGUCUAACUGACGCUGAGGCUCGAAAGUGUGGGGAGCAAACAGGAUUA